CGUUAGCACGGAAUAUGGGAUACUGGAUCCGCCUGGCUCCCUGUAUGCCACCUGCGAAGCAUGCUAAAGGUUUUUGCCAGGAUUUGCAGCUGGCGUUCAGGGAGUCAAGCAGGCCUCAAGUCUUCCCGUAACCAGCGCC
This 139-nucleotide microRNA precursor is filed under the name Physcomitrium patens. RNAcentral describes it as "Physcomitrella patens miR160i stem-loop (ppt-MIR160i)". Its record names the gene ppt-MIR160i. The stretch from base 27 to 114 matches the Rfam family "mir-160 microRNA precursor family". From Rfam's summary of the family: The hairpin precursors (represented here) are predicted based on base pairing and cross-species conservation -- their extents are not known. In this case the mature sequence is excised from the 5' arm of the hairpin. Lineage: Eukaryota; Viridiplantae; Streptophyta; Bryopsida; Funariales; Funariaceae. The record is from miRBase by way of RNAcentral.